UCAGAUUGCGGCGAUCUACUACCCGCAUAAAGGUAUUGUGUUCUGAACACAUUACAGUAAAGUAUUUACUGUUCAAAUUCGAAUUUCAAAUUUAAAUGCAUGCAUGCUAUAUAUCAUAUUUAAAUCCUAGUGUAGGAUAAAUUUUUAUUAAUUAAUUAGAUUAAUUAAUAAUUUUCACUGUAAAAUAGUGAUUUUGAAAAAGUUUUAAAAUUAUCAUUUUACCCCUGC
Molecule: long non-coding RNA, 228 nt
Filed under: Elaeis guineensis (African oil palm)
Lineage: Eukaryota; Viridiplantae; Streptophyta; Magnoliopsida; Arecales; Arecaceae
Description: long non-coding RNA (EGUI_LNC071292)
Source: RNAcentral